Molecule: ribosomal RNA, 440 nt
Filed under: uncultured bacterium
Lineage: Bacteria
Description: partial 16S ribosomal RNA
Rfam family: Bacterial small subunit ribosomal RNA
Source: RNAcentral
CCUACGGGAGGCUGCAGUGGGGAAUAUUGCACAAUGGGGGAAACCCUGAUGCAGCGACGCCGCGUGAGUGAAGAAGUAUUUCGGUACGUAAAGCUCUAUCAGCAGGGAAGAAAAUGACGGUACCUGACUAAGAAGCCCCGGCUAACUACGUGCCAGCAGCCGCGGUAAUACGUAGGGGGCAAGCGUUAUCCGGAUUUACUGGGUGUAAAGGGAGCGUAGACGGCAGCGCAAGUCUGGAGUGAAAUCCCAUGGCUUAACCAUGGGACUGCUUUGGAAACUGUGCAGCUAGAGUGCAGGAGAGGUAAGCGGAAUUCCUAGUGUAGCGGUGAAAUGCGUAGAUAUUAGGAGGAACACCAGUGGCGAAGGCGGCUUACUGGACUGUAACUGACGUUGAGGCUCGAAGGCGUGGGGAGCAAACAGGAUUAGAUACCCCAGUAGUC